AAAUUGAAGAGUUUGAUCAUGGCUCAGAUUGAACGCUGGCGGCAGGCCUAACACAUGCAAGUCGAACGGUAACAGGAAGCAGCUUGCUGCUUUGCUGACGAGUGGCGGACGGGUGAGUAAUGUCUGGGAAACUGCCUGAUGGAGGGGGAUAACUACUGGAAACGGUGGCUAAUACCGCAUAACGUCGCAAGACCAAAGAGGGGGACCUUCGGGCCUCUUGCCAUCAGAUGUGCCCAGAUGGGAUUAGCUAGUUGGUGAGGUAACGGCUCACCAAGGCGACGAUC
Molecule: ribosomal RNA, 284 nt
Filed under: Salmonella enterica
Lineage: Bacteria; Pseudomonadati; Pseudomonadota; Gammaproteobacteria; Enterobacterales; Enterobacteriaceae
Also listed under: 3 other names
Description: partial 16S ribosomal RNA
Rfam family: Bacterial small subunit ribosomal RNA
Source: RNAcentral